CGAAUGCUGACAUAAGUAACGAUAAAGCGGGUGAAAAGCCCGCUCGCCGGAAGACCAAGGGUUCCUGUCCAACGUUAAUCGGGGCAGGGUGAGUCGACCCCUAAGGCGAGGCCGAAAGGCGUAGUCGAUGGGAAACAGGUUAAUAUUCCUGUACUUGGUGUUACUGCGAAGGGGGGACGGAGAAGGCUAUGUUGGCCGGGCGACGGUUGUCCCGGUUUAAGCGUGUAGGCUGGUUUUCCAGGCAAAUCCGGAAAAUCAAGGCUGAGGCGUGAUGACGAGGCACUACGGUGCUGAAGCAACAAAUGCCCUGCUUCCAGGAAAAGCCUCUAAGCAUCAGGUAACAUCAAAUCGUACCCCAAACCGACACAGGUGGUCAGGUAGAGAAUACCAAGGCGCUUGAGAGAACUCGGGUGAAGGAACUAGGCAAAAUGGUGCCGUAACUUCGGGAGAAGGCACGCUGAUAUGUAGGUGAAGCGACUUGCUCGUGGAGCUGAAAUCAGUCGAAGAUACCAGCUGGCUGCAACUGUUUAUUAAAAACACAGCACUGUGCAAAC
RNAcentral lists this ribosomal RNA (554 nucleotides) under Escherichia coli. Its description in RNAcentral is "bacterial LSU rRNA". It matches the Rfam family "Bacterial large subunit ribosomal RNA", at positions 1291 to 1830 of the family's 2925-position model. Lineage: Bacteria; Pseudomonadati; Pseudomonadota; Gammaproteobacteria; Enterobacterales; Enterobacteriaceae. The record is from RNAcentral.